CUAUAAUGCAAGUCGAGCGAACGGACGAGGGUGCUUGCACUCUCUGAUGUUAGCGGCGGACGGGUGAGUAACACGUGGGUAACCUACCUAUAAGACUGGGAUAACUUCGGGAAACCGGAGCUAAUACCGGAUAAUAUUUAGCUUCGCAUGAAGCAAUAGUGAAAGACGGUUCUGCUGUCACUUAUAGAUGGACCCGCGGUGUAUUAGCUAGUUGGUGAGGUAACGGCUCACCAAGGCAACGAUACAUAGCCGACCUGAGAGGGUGAUCGGCCACACUGGGACUGAGACACGGCCCAGACUCCUACGGGAGGCAGCAGUAGGGAAUCUUCCGCAAUGGACGAAAGUCUGACGGAGCAACGCCGCGUGAGUGAAGAAGGUUUUCGGAUCGUAAAACUCUGUUGUAAGGGAAGAACAAGUACGUUAGUAACUGAACGUACCUUGACGGUACCUUACCAGAAAGCCACGGCUAACUACGUGCCAGCAGCCGCGGUAAUACGUAGGUGGCAAGCGUUAUCCGGAAUUAUUGGGCGUAAAGCGCGCGUAGGCGGUCUCUUAAGUCUGAUGUGAAAGCCCCCGGCUCAACCGGGGAGGGUCAUUGGAAACUGGGAGACUUGAGUGCAGAAGAGGAGAGUGGAAUUCCAUGUGUAGCGGUGAAAUGCGCAGAGAUAUGGAGGAACACCAGUGGCGAAGGCGGCUCUCUGGUCUGUAACUGACGCUGAGGUGCGAAAGCGUGGGGAUCAAACAGGAUUAGAUACCCUGGUAGUCCACGCCGUAAACGAUGAGUGCUAAGUGUUGGGGG
This 799-nucleotide ribosomal RNA is filed under the name uncultured Macrococcus sp. RNAcentral's name for it is "bacterial SSU rRNA". It matches the Rfam family "Bacterial small subunit ribosomal RNA", at positions 51 to 829 of the family's 1533-position model. The record is from RNAcentral. Lineage: Bacteria; Bacillati; Bacillota; Bacilli; Caryophanales; Staphylococcaceae.